Lemur catta (Ring-tailed lemur) is the source of this 138-nucleotide small nuclear RNA. RefSeq annotates it as U4 spliceosomal RNA. Lineage: Eukaryota; Metazoa; Chordata; Mammalia; Primates; Lemuridae. The record is from RefSeq and is a predicted model, not a curated record. The transcript has a single exon.
AGCUUUGCGCAGUGGCAGACCGUAGCCAGUGAGGAUUAUCCGAGGCGAGAUUAUCUCGGAUUGAAGACUUUCCCAACACCUGCCACGGUGCCUUGACGUGCCGUCGGCAUUGACAACUUUUGACAGUCUCUGUGGGGA